Molecule: long non-coding RNA, 2488 nt
Organism: Oryzias melastigma (Indian medaka)
Lineage: Eukaryota; Metazoa; Chordata; Actinopteri; Beloniformes; Adrianichthyidae
Exons: 3
Source: RefSeq, a predicted model, not a curated record
CAUCAGAGAAGAAAACAGUUAUGUGACCCUCAUUAGAAAGAGUUUGACUUGAUUUGAAGUCUGUAACCCCUUCCCCUUCGUUCCUACUGAACAUUACAACUAUAUAAAUUGAUACAAAGAAGUCAAACUGUUUUUAGGCUCAGUAUUUCUGACGUUACGCUCACACAGCAGCUGCUCUCCGGUCCUGUUUGCUCUGCGUUUAUCUUCCACCCACAGCCUGAAGCUGCAGUAAAUCCUCAGGCCGGGCUGUCAGAGACGCUCGUCGGCACAAACCUGCUGCCGGAUUAAACCGCAAAUAUAUGUGAUGGAGAUCGGUUGUGCCGCCGCUUAGAUCUCCCCGCCACGGUAAGGAAAUGACAGAACCUCAGUGAGGGCCAGCAGAUGGAGAGGAGCUGGAACAGGAACCAGAGGACUCAUCCAGAGGUCAGCAGAGGUCAGAGUUCCAAAAUCAACAUUCAGAAAGGGACACAAGGAUGAUCAGGAGUUAGAUCCAGGCCCAUCUGAGGUGGAUUUGGCAUGAAACAAGUUCUAUGACUUAUUUUAACUUUUAAAAACUCAUUUUUGAUCUAUUUUCAGAGCAUUUCCAGGAGUCUUUUAAUUAUAAUUUUGCCGUUUUUAACCAAAAUCAAGAAAUCUGAGUCGUUUUUUCAGGACGUUUUCAUCAGAAAAUCACCAAUAAGUUAAACUCAUUUGAUUGAGUCAAACCUUUAAUGAUAGAAACCCUCCUUUUUAAAAAUCUCUCACAAUUGAUCAAACCUGGAUUAAAAAGCAAUAAUCAACAUGAAACUGUAUUUUUUUUAAACAUGUGCUAUUCUAAAGAUACGUUCUAUUCCUGACUGAUUUUUUUUUUUUAAGUCAUUUCACAUAAAUCCCUCUUUCAACUCUGUAGAUGAAAAAUGCUUGACAGAGAAAUGACAGAGAGCUCCUCUGAGAAGAUCUUUAAUUGGACACACCUGGAGGAGGGGGCGGGGCUAACACAGGAGGACCUGCUGACACAAGGACAGCAGUGGAACCAGGAGAUGAUCAGAGUUUGGUCAAAAAUAGAAGCUAAACUCAAUCAAAUUAGUGAUUUCUUCUGCUGGGAUGAAAACCACAUUGAUGGAACUCAUCCAAGGAGGAUUUGGAUGCCGGACAGGAUUCUGGCUGAGCCGCUCGUCACCCAUCAUCAUUCCAGUAUUUCUGACAGCUGUUUUCUUUGUGCAUACUCAAACGGGUCAAUCUGCUGAGGUUUCUUGGUUUCCCUCCCAACAGUUUGGCCCCUCGCCCGUCUCUAGAUGACCUCUAAUAAUGCUGGCCCUCCACCUCUCAAACACAUCAGCAGCUCCGGAUCUCUGCAGCAGUCCCAUCUGUCCACACUUCUGUAGAUUUAAAGCUGCUUCCCUCCGAAGUGUCCUUUUCUGCUGGAUCAGGUUUUGUCAAGUUCAACUUCUGGGAUUCCAGAAGAACUUUUAGUGGAUAAAGGAAAGUUCUUCUAUCGUCUGUGGUUCUGAUCAUCACACGAUUAGCAAUAAUUGAUCUCAGGACUGGCAGAAGAUCAAUUCUUUUGGUGUUCCUGCAGAACUCUGCACAAUAUCAGACUUUAACAGUUUUAAAUGUCAGUUAAAAUGUAGUGCCAUUAUAUUUGUUUUAUUACAUUAAUAUUUUUCUAGUUUUUAUGCUGAUUUAAAUUUCAAACUUUCUUCUUUUAUUGUGAAGCACUUCGGUAAACUUAAAGGCGUUUUAAGUGUUAUAAAUAAAGCUUCACUAAAGACUUCCUGUCAUGAGCUCGAAAGAGGAAAUGUGGAAAAAACAUUCAAGGCUAUAAAAAAUUACACUUCUUCUUCUUAAAAACAUUAUUGUGAAGAGUUUUAAAAUUCCUUGUUUUGAAGCGUUAAAUGGUUUGUCAUCAAAACCAGCUGAGCUUAAACUUAUAAUAAAAAUUGAUUUUCCAUUCGACAAAUAAAUGCAGUUAACAUUUUAUUAAUGUUUAAAAAUAUUAAAACUCAUUAAAUCUUUUUUUAAACUGAUUUUUCCAAUUGUGGCAUCUGGAUAUUUAUUGUGUCAAAAAAUACUUAAACUACUGAAAAGAACACAUAAUAUUACAUAGCAAUUUAGGGAACAAAAUGUGGCAAAUAAAUAAAAUAUCACCUGAUUUUAUACUUUAUUCCUUCCAGUUAAUGAUUUUCAGACGCCAUCUUUUCUGCCACCAGGUCACACUGAAAAACAAAAAAAGCCUAAAUAUUAAAUUGACUCAUAUUUGGCUAAAUGUGAAGAUAUGAAAGUGUUGACUUAUGCAGAUGAUGUGACGGUUUAACAAAACAAGAUUAAAUAUAGUGGAAAUCAACCAGAUAAAUCUUAUAAAGUAGCAAAAAUAUCUUAAUUUAGGAGCUAUUUCAAACCAAAAACAUAAAAAAUAAUAAUUUCUGUUAAUGCCUAAAGGUACGAAAUGUAACGUAGAAGCUGUAAAAAGGCCCCUGAUGGAGCUAAAGUAAAGUUUAUCUGAACACGC